CCUUUUUGGGUUUUGUUCUCUAAGGUUUGGUUUGGAAUAUUGGUGUGGAA
RNAcentral lists this small RNA (50 nucleotides) under Arabidopsis thaliana (thale cress). RNAcentral's name for it is "ATSL183260". Lineage: Eukaryota; Viridiplantae; Streptophyta; Magnoliopsida; Brassicales; Brassicaceae. The record is from RNAcentral.